UCUUUACAGAGAUUAGCUCAGUUAGCAGAGCAUGAGACUCUUAAUCUCAGGGUUGUGGGUUUGAGCCCAAUGCUGGGUGAA
Molecule: non-coding RNA, 81 nt
Organism: Podarcis lilfordi (Lilford's wall lizard)
Lineage: Eukaryota; Metazoa; Chordata; Lepidosauria; Squamata; Lacertidae
Source: the annotation of a GenBank genome assembly